This 388-nucleotide ribosomal RNA is filed under the name uncultured bacterium. RNAcentral's name for it is "bacterial SSU rRNA". It matches the Rfam family "Bacterial small subunit ribosomal RNA", at positions 29 to 418 of the family's 1533-position model. The record is from RNAcentral.
AUUGAACGCUGGCGGAAUGCUUUACACAUGCAAGUCGGGCGGCAGCGCGGGGGCAAUCCUGGCGGCGAGCGGCGAACGGGUGAGUAACACAUCGGAACGUACCCUGUCGUGGGGGAUAACGAAUCGAAAGAUUCGCUAAUACCGCAUACGACCUGAGGGUGAAAGCGGGGGAUCGCAAGACCUCGCGCGAGAGGAGCGGCCGAUGGCGGAUUAGCUAGUUGGUGGGGUAAAGGCCCACCAAGGCGACGAUCCGUAGCGGGUCUGAGAGGACGGCCCGCCACACUGGGACUGAGACACGGCCCAGACUCCUACGGGAGGCAGCAGUGGGGAAUUUUGGACAAUGGGGGCAACCCUGAUCCAGCCAUUCCGCGUGAGUGAAGAAGGCCUU